UUAGUUCGUGUCUCAUGUACUUACGUUAAAUUAAUGUACCGAAGUUAUUCAAGAACGUGCCUUAUUUUUCGUGGGUUUUUUUUUUUUUCUGCCGACGUUUUUUUUCUUCCUGCUGAAUUAGCAUGGCUGCUAACGUCCAUCCACCGCCCUUGUUUUUACCGUGACCAGGAGAACCUGCUCCUUCAACACCUGGAUGUCCAACUUGCUGGUGAUUAAUUCAACAGGGAACACUUGGCCUGACGCACAAGAGCCGAAGGAUAACGAACUUUCUACUCCUUAAACACAGAGUUUUCUGAGAAGAACUGAAGGAAGUGAAGCUGUUCUACAAGUCCUGGCCCACAGACAAAUGGAGUGAGCCUGCCUUGCUCACCCUCCUCACAGUAUCUCCUUCGUGGACACCUGGCUGAUAUGGACGCUUAGAGGCAGGAAGCGUCCCUCACUUAUUAUCAUCUCUGUCUGGCAGGCAGGAGCCACACCCACAAGCCUAAGACUGCAUCCAGACACUCCUGAACUUUUCCUGGAAAGCAACUAGGCAUCUUUAUAACAGAGAUUUUCUGGGCUCAAACCCUGAACGAGGUCGACUCACACGAUGCAGACGAAGGUGAAGAAGCAGCUUUGCAUYCCAMCCAGAUGGUUCAAGUCCMUUAAUGAACUGAAUGACUGGGAAUCCAUGGGAAAUUUGAGCCUUUGGAAGUUUAAACGUGAUUGAACAUCUCAUCAAACCUGGUGCACCAAGAACCUUUGCGAAGCACAAGAACUGGUCACAGAACAUUUCAAGCUCUUGGUAACUGGACCUAAGAGUUGGAUUAACCUUUUUUUGCAGAACAUAAACAUAAAAUAGACUGUUUUGUUUUAUGUUCACAGCGACUAGAGGUAAUGAGAGCACACAUUCAUAAA
Molecule: non-coding RNA, 897 nt
Organism: Poecilia reticulata (guppy)
Lineage: Eukaryota; Metazoa; Chordata; Actinopteri; Cyprinodontiformes; Poeciliidae
Source: RefSeq, a predicted model, not a curated record